AUACUCUGGCUUCUCUUCAGUUGUCGAAUAAAUCUUCCGCCUUUUACUAAAGAUUUCCGUGGAGGGGAGCAACUCAAAUGAGUCUAAAAUGAAAAAUUUUUGAAGAUCCUUUCUAUGAAAGGAUC
Lucilia sericata (common green bottle fly) is the source of this 125-nucleotide small nuclear RNA. RefSeq annotates it as U5 spliceosomal RNA. The record is from RefSeq and is a predicted model, not a curated record. The transcript has a single exon. NCBI's taxonomy places the organism in Eukaryota, Metazoa, Arthropoda, Insecta, Diptera, Calliphoridae.